GAACUUUCAGAGACAAAGGACACGAGGUUCUUUUGAAAGUACUUUUUAAAAGUUUAUUCAAAGAAAAAACAAACAACAAAAAAUAAAGCUUGCAGGACUUCCUGUCGCACGGAGGUCAUCCGUUGGAGGAGCGGAGCUAUGUGAAUACCUGAAAGAAGCACACGCGUGUUCUUCAUUGUCCUGUAAAGGAGGUCAUGUAGUGAAGGGGGGGAGCAAAGAAAAAACUAAAGAAUAUCCAAUUACAGCUGGGCAAAGAAACAAGAAAUAUGCAUUUAACAUAACGUGAUUGAUGCAUUAGAACCUGUGUAAACAUUUCCUCCACCUGAGGUGGGCGGAGCCACACGCCGACGCACAGAAACUAUCGAGAACAGAAAACACGCAAAGCUUCAAGCGACUUCUUCUUCUUGCUCUUCCCCAAACAAAGUUGUCCUUAACUACUGGGGGGGGGGGGGGGGGGGCGUUGACCUGCCGUUGUCUUUAAGGGUUGCCGUGGAAACGGAAGUCAAAGUCCUGGAGGAGGCGGAUGGUGCUCAGUCUUUCACAUGCACAUCAGCAGGAAGUCCAGCCUCGCAGACGGGCUCUGCUCGUUGUCAUGGUAACGCCCCAUUCCAGUCCUCACCCCCCCCCCCAAAAAAAGAAAAACACCUGGGGGCUGUUAAGUCGUGACGAGGAAAAAGAUGGUCUCAUGCGUCGGACCACCGCGAGCUCUACAUUCUGUAAAGUUAAUGCGCGCGUGCACACACACACACACACACACACACACACACACACACUCUGAAUCUAUUAAAUCUCCUAUUCACAGCGGUUCAGCUCAGGCGGCCAUGCUUUCCUUUGGGGGGGGGGGGGCAGAAACAUGACCUCAUCUGGAAGAUUCAGGGAUGUUUUUACGGUACACACCUGUGUCGCCUCCUCUUAUAGACACACACACACACACACACACAGGGUGGAGGUGCGUGAAUCCUAAAAAAAGAAGGUAAACAUGUUUACUCCACAUAGUUACACUUAUCUUUAUAAUAAUAGUAAUAAUUAAAGAAACUGCCUCAGCCCCCCCCCCCCAUUUGUUAAUUCAUGUUUUUUUUGUAAAGCACCUGUCGAAACAACACAAUACUUCAACAACACACACACACACACACACACACACACACACACACACACAAGUCAGGCCAGGUCACAUCCAUGAGACCUCCAUCAGAACUACCCCCCCCCCGCCCCCCCCUCGCCUGAGUUUAGUCCUCAACCUCCAACCAGCAGGUCAAACAACAGUACAAAUACACACAAUACUGCAGUAUUAACACAACGGUGGGCCCAUGAGAAGAAGGCGCGGCAGAGACGGGGGGGGGGGGCCUAGAAGGUAGUAGAAGUAUUCUGUCCCAUUGCCAUCACAGGAGCAACUAAAGUACCCCCCCCUUCUUAAACUGACAUUUAAUUUAUUUCUACUUUCAUUCAUAUAUUAAUUAAUCAUCCCCUCAUGUUCAUGUAUGUCAGGGGGGGCGGAGCUCCAGACUGAAAGGUGACGUCGGUGCAGUCCCUCUCACUCUCGGGGGGUCCUGACAUCCAGUGUUAGCGAAGGGUUGGAGGGCGAUGAAGAGGAGGGGGGGGGGGGGGCGCGGACCUCUACCAGCUGAGCAGGUUACUUCGGCCCAGAGUCAUGAAGUACACCUGGCUGGAGCCUCCAGAACGGACGGAGGCGAAGAACACCUGGGGAGGAGACAGGUGAGGAGAAGAGACACAGGUGGGGGGAGGAGACACAGGUGGGGGGAGGAGACAGAGGUGGGGGGAGGAGACACAGGUGAGGGGUGGAGACACAGGUGGGGGGAGGAGACAGGUGAGGAGAAGAGACACAGGUGGGGGGAGGAGACAGAGGUGGGGGGAAGAGACACAGGUGGGGGGAGGAGACACAGGUGAGGGGUGGAGACACAGGUGAGGGGAGGAGACAGAGGUGGGGGGAGGAGACACAGGUGGGGGGAGGAGACACAGGUGAGGGGUGGAGACACAGGUGAGGGGUGGAGACACAGGUGAGGGGAGGAGACACAGGUG
This is a long non-coding RNA of Gasterosteus aculeatus aculeatus (three-spined stickleback), 2037 nucleotides long. NCBI's taxonomy places the organism in Eukaryota, Metazoa, Chordata, Actinopteri, Perciformes, Gasterosteidae. The record is from Ensembl.